GAUGAACGCUGGCGGCGUGCCUAAUACAUGCAAGUCGAGCGAACAGACGAGGAGCUUGCUCCUCUGACGUUAGCGGCGGACGGGUGAGUAACACGUGGAUAACCUACCUAUAAGACUGGGAUAACUUCGGGAGACCGGAGCUAAUACCGGAUAAUAUAUUGAACCGCAUGGUUCAAUAGUGAAAGACGGUUUUGCUGUCACUAAUAGAUGGAUCCGCGCCGCAUUAGCUAGUUGGUAAGGUAACGGCUUACCAAGGCAACGAUGCGUAGCCGACCUGAGAGGGUGAUCGGCCACACUGGAACUGAGACACGGUCCAGACUCCUACGGGAGGCAGCAGUAGGGAAUCUUCCGCAAUGGGCGAAAGCCUGACGGAGCAACGCCGCGUGAGUGAUGAAGGUCUUCGGAUCGUAAAACUCUGUUAUUAGGGAAGAACAAAUGUGUAAGUAACUAUGCACGUCUUGACGGUACCUAAUCAGAAAGCCACGGCUAACUACGUG
This 497-nucleotide ribosomal RNA is filed under the name uncultured bacterium. RNAcentral describes it as "partial 16S ribosomal RNA". It matches the Rfam family "Bacterial small subunit ribosomal RNA", at positions 28 to 507 of the family's 1533-position model. The record is from RNAcentral.